This is a long non-coding RNA of Macadamia integrifolia, 1827 nucleotides long. RefSeq lists it as uncharacterized. NCBI's taxonomy places the organism in Eukaryota, Viridiplantae, Streptophyta, Magnoliopsida, Proteales, Proteaceae. The transcript is spliced from 6 exons. The record is from RefSeq and is a predicted model, not a curated record.
UACUUUCAGGGUUUUAGUUCUGCUUCUCAGCACUACUAAUCUGGAAGCCUGACCUACCUCUACCCUUCCCAAAACCCUUAAGGCGAGGGAGGAGAAACUAUGUCGUCUCUUUCUUGCCAUGGGCUCCCGGAUUUAUCUCCGGACUCACUCGUUGCAUCUGGUCGAAGCGCAGAGAAGCUGAGCCUUCCAUCCCUGCAAACGAAGAUGAAGUGUGACCCUGAGGGCUACGAGUCCGAGCUACUCCUCCUCUACCGCCACUUUGAUUCAUCUCUUCAGCUUUUCGAACAACAGGCCGCUCUCAAUUUCACUUCCAUAGGUGGCGUUGGUGGUGACGUCUCCGUCGCCAAGGACCUCGGUGACAUGAUCAUGUUCCUCGCUCAUGUUACUCCCUUCUACCCAAAUCAUCUCUCUCAAUUCCCUAAGCAGCUCGCCGACUUACUCCGCUCUUCCGCUCUUUCACUUCCGUCUUCUCUCCGCGGCCAUGUUGUACAAGCCCUUAUUCUUCUUAUGAACCGUAAGGUUGUUGAUAUUGGGGACAAUCUUGCUUUAUUCAUGGAACUUCAAACUUUAGGGGACAGGGCUAUAAGAAAACUGGCCUUCUCUCAUGUUGUUCAUAGUAUCCGGCGCAUGAACCAGAAGCAUAAGAAUGAAGCCAAUAAUCGGAAACUUUAGAAUAUCCUAUUUGCAAUGCUACAGUCAAAGUUGAUCCAUACUAAGUCUAGAAUUGUCUAUUGCAUCAACAAGAAGACGAAUCAAAAGCUAAAAGGUCUCUUACUGUACUUUGUGAUCUUCAUCGGAGAAGGGUCUGGUUUGAUGAUAGGACAGCAAAUGCAAUUUGCACUGCAUGUUUUCAUUCAUCUUCAAGGAUCAUGAUUGCUUCUCUAUCAUUCCUUCUUGGUUUUGAGAAGAUUGAAGCUGAUGACAGUGAAAGCUCAAGCAGUGAUAUGACGUCUGAAAAGCCCCACAUUGUUAUUAGCAGGGAGGAUGUCUACAAGGCACAUAACAAAGGUACAUCUAGAAGUAAGAAGAAAAAGUUAGCAAAACUGAAGCGUGCCACCCGAAGCAUGGAAAAGCAGCAGAGAAUUUCUCAAACCAAGAAUUCAAGUUGUUAUUCAACACUUGGCCAUUUGAAAGAUGCACAGGGAUUUGCAGAGAAGCUAUUUUCUUGUCUUCAAGCUUGCAAUGAACGUUUUGAGGUACAUGAUGUGCAACUUCUUCUUCUUCUUCAUCUUUUGGGUAGUAUCUUCUGCAUUUAUGCCUUAUUUCUUUGUUGUAGUUUCUUAUAUAAAAUGGAUUUUAUUGGGAGCUGAGCAAACCCUAAAAUGUGAUGUAGAACCCCGGUUCGAAAACCUUGUCGGUCCUCUUAUGGGCCCACCAAACUUAAAAUAUGUUAAUAACAAGGGAUAGUGGCAAAACUGUAAAAUAUCAAGCUUAUAAGGGAAGUGGUGGUACUGUAAAUAGGUUGAAGUCCAUAAGAGAGUGUUGUAAUUUAUGAGAAUCAACUAUAAAAGAAGAAAACAACUGAAUGGACAUUAACAUGUUAAUGCGAGGGGUAUUCUUGGAAUUGGAACAUGUAGAGUGGGGGAUGAACAGAAUUAACAUCAGAAAACAUGGGGUUUGGUGUAAAUAACAUUAGUUGUCAUUACUUGUAAUUUCAAAGACCCAAUGUCUUCUUCAACCAUUGAUUCUCAGAUUCCAACAGAGGAGUUCGUCUUCCCGAUAAUGCAGUACUGACAAGGAUUUACACAAGGAGAACCAAGACCAAGGUCGACCCAAUUGGCUAACUGGGUCGACCCAGAUCUGGUCCAAGUCAGCCCAUGAUUUGGG